UGGUGGCGAGCGGCGGACGGGUGAGUAAUGCCUAGGAAUCUGCCUAGUAGUGGGGGAUAACGUCCGGAAACGGGCGCUAAUACCGCAUACGUCCUACGGGAGAAAGUGGGGGAUCUUCGGACCUCACGCUAUUAGAUGAGCCUAGGUCGGAUUAGCUAGUUGGUGAGGUAAUGGCUCACCAAGGCGACGAUCCGUAACUGGUCUGAGAGGAUGAUCAGUCACACUGGAACUGAGACACGGUCCAGACUCCUACGGGAGGCAGCAGUGGGGAAUAUUGGACAAUGGGCGAAAGCCUGAUCCAGCCAUGCCGCGUGUGUGAAGAAGGUCUUCGGAUUGUAAAGCACUUUAAGUUGGGAGGAAGGGCAGUUACCUAAUACGUGAUUGUUUUGACGUUACCGACAGAAUAAGCACCGGCUAACUCUGUGCCAGCAGCCGCGGUAAUACAGAGGGUGCAAGCGUUAAUCGGAAUUACUGGGCGUAAAGCGCGCGUAGGUGGUUUGUUAAGUUGGAUGUGAAAGCCCCGGGCUCAACCUGGGAACUGCAUCCAAAACUGGCAAGCUAGAGUAUGGUAGAGGGUGGUGGAAUUUCCUGUGUAGCGGUGAAAUGCGUAGAUAUAGGAA
RNAcentral lists this ribosomal RNA (620 nucleotides) under Pseudomonas protegens. RNAcentral describes it as "bacterial SSU rRNA". It matches the Rfam family "Bacterial small subunit ribosomal RNA", at positions 86 to 702 of the family's 1533-position model. Lineage: Bacteria; Pseudomonadati; Pseudomonadota; Gammaproteobacteria; Pseudomonadales; Pseudomonadaceae. The record is from RNAcentral.